Molecule: long non-coding RNA, 209 nt
Filed under: Capsicum annuum
Lineage: Eukaryota; Viridiplantae; Streptophyta; Magnoliopsida; Solanales; Solanaceae
Description: long non-coding RNA (CANN_LNC002393)
Source: RNAcentral
UCAUUGAAAACUUAUAAUUAGAAAUGUGUCAACAAGAUAUGACAAUAGAAACCUCAACUACCGUCUAUGAAGUCUCUACUGAUACUGAUUGUCUAGGCCGGGACAAGCCCUCGGCUGGACCAUAUACUGAAAGACUCAACAUAUAAAUAAAUGCCUUCCGAAAGAUGGAUGGCUCACCAAUUCUGUCAAAUCUUAAGUAUUCUACUGAU